Molecule: small nuclear RNA, 107 nt
Organism: Monodelphis domestica (gray short-tailed opossum)
Lineage: Eukaryota; Metazoa; Chordata; Mammalia; Didelphimorphia; Didelphidae
Source: Ensembl
GCGCUUGCUGCAGCAGCACAUAUACUAAAAUUGGAACAAUAAAGAGAAGAUUAGCAUGGCCCCUGCGCAAGGAUAUAAUAUAUGUCUGUACCUGGGCACAUGGUUUC